This is a small nuclear RNA of Cercocebus atys (sooty mangabey), 65 nucleotides long. The record is from Ensembl. NCBI's taxonomy places the organism in Eukaryota, Metazoa, Chordata, Mammalia, Primates, Cercopithecidae.
GUGCUCACUUUGGCAGCACAUAUAACUAAACUUGGAACCAUACAGAGAAGAUUAGCGUGGCCCCU